CAACCAAGUCUCAAAUAAUGUGAUGACAUGUCAGACAGAUAUACUUCUCACAAAUAAGUAACAAAUAUUGUAAUGACAUGUCAGACAGAUAUACUUCUCACAACCAAGUCACAAACACUGUAGUGACAUGUCAGACAGAUAUACUUCUUACAACCAAGUCACAAACACUGUAUUGACAUGUCAGACCGAUAUACCUCUUACAACCGAGUCACAAACAUUGUUAUGACAUGUCAGACAGAUAUACUUCUCACAAC
Molecule: long non-coding RNA, 254 nt
Filed under: Mytilus galloprovincialis (Mediterranean mussel)
Lineage: Eukaryota; Metazoa; Mollusca; Bivalvia; Mytilida; Mytilidae
Source: RNAcentral